This 67-nucleotide transfer RNA is filed under the name Brycon henni. RNAcentral's name for it is "tRNA-Cys". It matches the Rfam family "tRNA". From Rfam's summary of the family: Transfer RNA (tRNA) molecules are approximately 80 nucleotides in length. Lineage: Eukaryota; Metazoa; Chordata; Actinopteri; Characiformes; Bryconidae. The record is from RNAcentral.
GGUCCCGUGGUGUAAAGCACAUUAGAUUGCAAAUCUGAGGGCGCAGGCUACCCCCUGCCGGGGCUUU